UGAGUGCUGUAUUCCCUAGCCAUGGGAGUAAUCAACAGCAAGCCAACUGUGCUGGACCGCAUGAUCAGGAACUUUGCCACUGCCCUAUCCUGAUCCUCCUGCCACACCUGCUGUGUACCCUUCCUCGCAUCUUGGCAAGAGACUCCUUGGUGCCACGGCUGAGCAAGGGACGCUGCGAUGGCACUGACUCUGCGGUUCCCUGUUCUCCUAACUGCCAUACACAACUUUCCUCCUGAGCCUAUAGCAGACUCAGAUGAGGAAGUCUCCUCACAGGUCCCUGACUUGGCUCUCUAGCAGCUGCUGUGAUGCGGCCAGUAUAUGUGCCCUUCACUCUGAGUGAUCCAUAUAAUUAGAGAACACAGAACUCCCUUAUUUGGAACAGCUUUGGGCUCUGCUUACUUUGUUUAAGCUUCCACGAGGUGCUCAAGAUUG
Molecule: long non-coding RNA, 432 nt
Filed under: Chinchilla lanigera (long-tailed chinchilla)
Lineage: Eukaryota; Metazoa; Chordata; Mammalia; Rodentia; Chinchillidae
Description: lncRNA (ENSCLAG00000027996.1)
Source: RNAcentral